Molecule: long non-coding RNA, 212 nt
Filed under: Citrus sinensis (sweet orange)
Lineage: Eukaryota; Viridiplantae; Streptophyta; Magnoliopsida; Sapindales; Rutaceae
Description: long non-coding RNA (CSIN_LNC000851)
Source: RNAcentral
AGCUUGCCGUCUCUAAUUCUUUUAUUUUCAUGUCAUUUUAAGUUCUCAACAGUUUGUGGUGAUUGAAACAUUCUUUUCAACCUAGGAAUUAUAGAAAAAUACCAUAACACCCUUUUAGGGACCCCCUUUCUAAUUUGUUUUAUCCAUAUUUUCUUAUUUGCCACCUAGAUGCUCCACACCUUGGGCAUUCACUAAGAUUCUUGAACUCAUUC